GACGAACGCUGGCGGCGUGCUUAACACAUGCAAGUCGUACGGUAAGGCCCUUUCGGGGGUCCACGAGUGGCGAACGGGUGAGUAGCACGUGAGUAACCUGCCCACAACUUUGGGAUAACGCUAGGAAACUGGUGCUAAUACUGGAUAUGUGCUCCUGCUGCAUGGUGGGGGUUGGAAAGCUCCGGCGGUUGUGGAUGGACUCGCGGCCUAUCAGCUUGUUGGUGGGGUAGUGGCCUACCAAGGCGGCGACGGGUAGCCGGCCUGAGAGGGUGACCGGCCACAUUGGGACUGAGAUACGGCCCAGACUCCUACGGGAGGCAGCAGUGGGGAAUAUUGCACAAUGGGCGCAAGCCUGAUGCAGCAACGCCGCGGGCGGGAUGACGGCCUUCGGGUUGUAAACCGCUUUCAGCAGGGACGAAGCUUUUUGUGACGGUACCUGCAGAAGAAGCACCGGCUAACUACGUG
RNAcentral lists this ribosomal RNA (465 nucleotides) under uncultured bacterium. Its description in RNAcentral is "partial 16S ribosomal RNA". It matches the Rfam family "Bacterial small subunit ribosomal RNA", at positions 28 to 507 of the family's 1533-position model. The record is from RNAcentral.